GCUUAAAAUCUCCGGGUUAUUACUCGGCGAAUUGUAGUCUAUGGAAGCGAUGUCAGAGGCGUCGGCAGGUUCAAGUUCCUUGGAAGAGGACAGCAUGGAGGGUUACACUCCCGUUUGAGCCGAGUCGAUGUCACGUACGACACGCUCUCUUCGAGUCGCGUUGUUUGGGAUUGCAGCGCAAAGUAGGUGGUAAACUCCAUCGAAAGCUAAAUACCGGUAGAGACCGAUAGCGAACAAGUACCGUGAGGGAAAGAUGAAAAGAACUUUGAAAAGAGAGUUAAAAGUACCUGAAACUGCUGAAAGGGAAGCGAAUCGCGUCUACUGUCCCUUCGCGUGCAUCGCGUGCUGUGGUCCUCGGGCGACAGGACGUUGUGUCGCGGUGGAGUCAGAGUCAGUUCCAAGUCCGCGACCUGGGUCGGGCGAUAAAGGUAGGAAUCCCGCGUAGCGGGAUCCGCAUCACUCUCCCGGGUCGGGUCGUGGUUGGGACUGAGGUGUCGACAACAUGCAAUCAAGUGCGUUGCGCGGGCCCUCGCGUGAUUGGAGGAAAGUUCGCUGGAAUCCGUAUCGUCGCGGAGGCACGGGUGGCGAUUAACUUGCGCUGUUCGGGACUCUGGCAUAAUGGAGCGAUUCGACCCGUCUUGAAACACGGACCAAGGAGUCUAACAUGUGUGCGAGUGUUUGGGUGAGAAACCCCGACGCGGAAUGAAAGUGAAGGGCGUAAGUCUGAGGUAGGAAGGUCCGUUCGUCGGACUGGCACUAUCGACCGAUCGAAAGCUCUCGGGCGAACGAUUUGAGUUGGAGCAUAUAUGUUGGUACCCGAAAGAUGGUGAACUAUGCCUGAGUAGGUGAAGCCAGGG
RNAcentral lists this ribosomal RNA (857 nucleotides) under Wilsoniana amaranthi. Its description in RNAcentral is "LSU rRNA". It matches the Rfam family "Eukaryotic large subunit ribosomal RNA", at positions 113 to 857 of the family's 3401-position model. The record is from RNAcentral. Lineage: Eukaryota; Oomycota; Peronosporomycetes; Albuginales; Albuginaceae.